This 267-nucleotide long non-coding RNA is filed under the name Homo sapiens (human). RNAcentral's name for it is "HSALNT0127342". Lineage: Eukaryota; Metazoa; Chordata; Mammalia; Primates; Hominidae. The record is from RNAcentral.
UAGGAAUUCACCUAUUCUGGACCUUUCAUAUAAAUGGAAUCAUACAUAUGUGGUCUUCUGUGACUGGCUUUCUUCACCUAGGAUUCCCAAGUGCAGACCUUCAUAUAGAAGCACCACCGCUCUGUUCCCAAAGAUGGACAUGCACUCGGAAGCAUUCUUUCCCCUUAGUCAAGCUAGGUUUCAACCCCUCAUCCAAACUACCUCACUGAGUAUGGCUUUGCAUGGAAUACCACUUAACAUCAUGGAAUAAAACAAAAUUAACUGCUC